Molecule: ribosomal RNA, 369 nt
Filed under: Campylobacter jejuni
Lineage: Bacteria; Pseudomonadati; Campylobacterota; Epsilonproteobacteria; Campylobacterales; Campylobacteraceae
Description: bacterial SSU rRNA
Rfam family: Bacterial small subunit ribosomal RNA
Source: RNAcentral
UUUUAUGGAGAGUUUGAUCCUGGCUCAGAGUGAACGCUGGCGGCGUGCCUAAUACAUGCAAGUCGAACGAUGAAGCUUCUAGCUUGCUAGAAGUGGAUUAGUGGCGCACGGGUGAGUAAGGUAUAGUUAAUCUGCCCUACACAAGAGGACAACAGUUGGAAACGACUGCUAAUACUCUAUACUCCUGCUUAACACAAGUUGAGUAGGGAAAGUUUUUCGGUGUAGGAUGAGACUAUAUAGUAUCAGCUAGUUGGUAAGGUAAUGGCUUACCAAGGCUAUGACGCUUAACUGGUCUGAGAGGAUGAUCAGUCACACUGGAACUGAGACACGGUCCAGACUCCUACGGGAGGCAGCAGUAGGGAAUAUUGC